UCAUAUGCUUGUCUCAAAGAUUAAGCCAUGCAUGUCUAAGUACAUGCCGUAUUAAGGCGAAACCGCGAAUGGCUCAUUAAAUCAGUUAUGGUUCCUUAGAUCGUACCUUAUUACUUGGAUAACUGUGGUAAUUCUAGAGCUAAUACAUGCAGCAGAGCUCCGACCUUCGGGGACGAGCGCUUUUAUUAGACCAAGAUCAAUCGGGCCUCGUGUCCGUGAAACGUGGUGACUCUGAAUAACUUUGAGCUGAUCGCACGGGCUCGUCCCGGCGACGUAUCUUUCAAGUGUCUGCCUUAUCAACUGUCGAUGGUAGGUUAUGUGCCUACCAUGGUCGUAACGGGUAACGGGGAAUCAGGGUUCGAUUCCGGAGAGGGAGCCUGAGAAACGGCUACCACAUCCAAGGAAGGCAGCAGGCGCGCAAAUUACCCACUCCCGGCACGGGGAGGUAGUGACGAAAAAUAACAAUACGGGACUCUUUUGAGACCCCGUAAUUGGAAUGAGUACACUCUAAAUCCUUUAACGAGGAUCCAUCGGAGGAAAAGUCUGGUGCCAGCACCCGCGGUAAUUCCAGCUCCGAUAGCGUAUAUUAAAGUUGUUGCGGUUAAAAAGCUCGUAGUUGGAUCUCAGUUCCAGACGGGCGGUCCGCCUACCGGUGGUUACUGCCUGUUCUGAACAGCCAGCCGGUUUCCUUUGAUGAUCUUCACCGGUUGUCUUGGGUGACCGGCACGUUUACUUUGAAAAAAUUAGAGUGCUCAAAGCAGGCGUGACGCCUGAAUAAUGGUGCAUGGAAUAAUAGAAUAGGACCUCGGUUCUAUUUUGUUGGUCUUCGGGACACGAGGUAAUGAUUAAGAGGGACAGACGGGGGCAUUCGUAUUGCGACGCUAGAGGUGAAAUUCUUGGACCGUCGCAAGACGAACUACUGCGAAAGCAUUUGCCAAGAAUGUUUCCGUUAAUCAAGAACGAAAGUUAGAGGUUCGAAGGCGAUCAGAUACCGCCCUAGUUCUAACCAUAAACGAUGCCAGCCAGCGAUCCGGCUGUGUUCCUCAAAUGACACGCCGGGCAGCUUCCGGGAAACCAAAGCUUUUGGGUUCCGGGGGAAGUAUGGUUGCAAAGCUGAAACUUAAAGGAAUUGACGGAAGGGCACCACCAGGUUUGGAGCUUGCGGCUUAAUUUGACUCAACGCGGUGCAACUUACCCGGCCAGGACUCAAGCAGGAUUGACAGAUUAACAGCUCUUUCUUGAUUUUGCGGAUUGUGGUGCAUGGCCGUUCUUAGUUGGUGGAGCGAUUUGUCUGGUUUAUUCCGAU
This 1306-nucleotide ribosomal RNA is filed under the name Mecysmauchenius sp. CASENT9053425. RNAcentral's name for it is "SSU rRNA". It matches the Rfam family "Eukaryotic small subunit ribosomal RNA", at positions 24 to 1329 of the family's 1831-position model. The record is from RNAcentral. Lineage: Eukaryota; Metazoa; Arthropoda; Arachnida; Araneae; Mecysmaucheniidae.